CAGAGCAGAUGCUGUGCGUUAAGUGCCGGAAAAUGGGAGUAGAGUUUCCGGACGAAGAGCCGCUUUGCGGCUUGCGGUGCAGUUUUUCAUCCGCUGU
Molecule: non-coding RNA, 97 nt
Filed under: human gut metagenome
Description: THF riboswitch
Rfam family: THF (Tetrahydrofolate) riboswitch aptamer
About the family: THF riboswitch presents a pseudoknot that joins P1-P2 and the loop of P3 and two THF binding.
Source: RNAcentral